UCUAACAGUGCGUGCUAAUAAUUAAUAAGAUGCAUUCAGAACUUCCCACGUAAGCAAAAUGUGUGGCUUGGGGAUGAAUAAGAGGCGGUGAAGGGGGAAGACAAUGAAAUUCACCUUAAAAUUUCAAGGAGAAAAUAAAAAUCUGAAGACUGUAUCACCAGCAUGGAAAAAAAAAUCCACCUUUCCAGAGCUCCUGUCUGUCUGCAUGACCUCUUUGGGAAAAGAAAAAGACCACAUCUCAGGAUAAAACAAAUGCCUAUUUCCACUCUAAUCCAGCUUUCCCCAUGUUCCAACAGCCCUACAUGGGACAGCUCCACAUGCAAACUCGCAUCCAGAUCCAAUAAUUGCCCUUUAAGAAGCUUAUCAUGCAUUGAAGAAUGUCAGCUUGACAAUCUGUAGGUGGCGAAUGGCAGCAUGUUGAUUUUCAAAUGAAGAAGCUGAGACAGAGAGUGCCAGCUGGAACGCAAUGUGUUACUUCUUAUGGCAGCAACGAUGUAACUCGAAACACCAUCAUCUAUGGAAAGCUUAGCACAAUUGGCCAAGAAAGUGCUUUUCUUUACAUUUACAUUCAAUACUGUCACCUGGAAACAAAAAUUUCCAAGGUACCAGCUGCUAAUUUGUUGAAUAUUCCUUUUGUGCGUUUGAUAGAAGCACUGUCCAAGUUUCUUCAGUAUUAUCACCAUGACAACAAAAAUUUAUGUCUACUUUUUUGCAUAUUAGUUGCUCCAGAAAAGUCCAGAAUGACAAGAAUGUCCGUCAGCUUGCCAACCACGGCUCUAAAGGGAUCUCCAUUUUCCUCUCACUCUUAAAUUCUUUGGUGACAAUAAAAAAAAAGCAGGAAGAUUUCUGUUUUCCA
RNAcentral lists this long non-coding RNA (856 nucleotides) under Vulpes vulpes (red fox). RNAcentral's name for it is "lncRNA (ENSVVUG00000030338.1)". Lineage: Eukaryota; Metazoa; Chordata; Mammalia; Carnivora; Canidae. The record is from RNAcentral.